Long non-coding RNA from Oncorhynchus tshawytscha (Chinook salmon), 341 nucleotides. Lineage: Eukaryota; Metazoa; Chordata; Actinopteri; Salmoniformes; Salmonidae. The record is from Ensembl.
UGAAGCCAGACUUGUUGUUAUUUUUACAUUGUGCAUUGUAUUAAAACAGCAGGGAUCAGAGCUGGAUAUAGGAAAUAGGGGAUGGAUGGAAGACACAGGGACUGAACCCUGGAAUCAGAGCUGGAUAUAGGAAAGUAGGGAUGGAUGGAAGACACAGGGACUGAACCCUGGAAUCAGAGCUGGGUAUAGGAAAUAGGGGGAUGGAAGGAAGACACAGGGACUGAACCCUGGAAUCAGAGCUGGGUAUAGGAAAGUAGGGGGAUGGAUGGAAGACACAGGGACUGAACCCUGGAAUCAGAGCUGGAUAUAGGAAAGUAGGGGGAUGGAUGGAAGACACAGGG